GAUACAUCAACAAAUGAACAAAACUUCCUUCCCUCUGCUUAAGUCUCCUUACUCACAAACCCUCCAAUAUUAGGACACUUGCAAAUUUACAAUUCCUAUGAAAUCAUCAGACAUCAUAUCUAUUAGUGGGAAUCAUGCCACAGAAUGAUUCCCUUACAAAGAGUCAUGUUAUUCUAAUUUCUUUACCUAAAAUGGUUCAUGGCCUCAUAAGAAACCCACAUCAUGUUGCCUUGUUAGAGACAUUGUUGGAUAG
RNAcentral lists this unclassified non-coding RNA (253 nucleotides) under Hevea brasiliensis (rubber tree). The record is from RNAcentral. Lineage: Eukaryota; Viridiplantae; Streptophyta; Magnoliopsida; Malpighiales; Euphorbiaceae.